AAGGGUUCUCAGGGCGGGGUGAAAUUCCCCACCGGCGGUAUCCGGCAAUGCCGGGAGCCCGCGAGCGCUUUCACCCCUGGUGAAAGGCAGCAGAUCCGGUGCGAUGCCGGAGCCGACGGUUAGAGUCCGGAUGAAAGAGAGCAUCG
Molecule: non-coding RNA, 146 nt
Filed under: Parahoeflea olei
Lineage: Bacteria; Pseudomonadati; Pseudomonadota; Alphaproteobacteria; Hyphomicrobiales; Rhizobiaceae
Description: Hoeflea olei FMN sequence
Rfam family: FMN riboswitch aptamer (RFN element)
About the family: The RFN element is a highly conserved domain that is found frequently in the 5'-untranslated regions of prokaryotic mRNAs that encode for flavin mononucleotide (FMN) biosynthesis and transport proteins. This element is a metabolite-dependent riboswitch that directly binds FMN in the absence of proteins.
Source: Rfam by way of RNAcentral